RNAcentral lists this ribosomal RNA (497 nucleotides) under uncultured bacterium. RNAcentral's name for it is "partial 16S ribosomal RNA". It matches the Rfam family "Bacterial small subunit ribosomal RNA", at positions 28 to 507 of the family's 1533-position model. The record is from RNAcentral.
GAUGAACGCUGGCGGCGUGCCUAAUACAUGCAAGUCGAGCGAACGGACGAGAAGCUUGCUUCUCUGGUGUUAGCGGCGGACGGGUGAGUAACACGUGGAUAACCUACCUAUAAGACUGGGAUAACUUCGGGAAACCGGAGCUAAUACCGGAUAAUAUUUUGAACCGCAUGGUUCAAAAGUGAAAGACGGUCUUGCUGUCACUUAUAGAUGGAUCCGCGCUGCAUUAGCUAGUUGGUAAGGUAACGGCUUACCAAGGCAACGAUGCAUAGCCGACCUGAGAGGGUGAUCGGCCACACUGGAACUGAGACACGGUCCAGACUCCUACGGGAGGCAGCAGUAGGGAAUCUUCCGCAAUGGGCGAAAGCCUGACGGAGCAACGCCGCGUGAGUGAUGAAGGUCUUCGGAUCGUAAAACUCUGUUAUUAGGGAAGAACAUAUGUGUAAGUAACUGUGCACAUCUUGACGGUACCCAAUCAGAAAGCCACGGCUAACUACGUG